Molecule: unclassified non-coding RNA, 334 nt
Filed under: soil metagenome
Description: partial contains 5.8S ribosomal RNA, internal transcribed spacer 2, and large subunit ribosomal RNA
Rfam family: 5.8S ribosomal RNA (bases 1-120)
Source: RNAcentral
GAUGAAGAACGUAGCGAAAUGCGAUAAGUAGUGUGAAUUGCAGAAUUCAGUGAAUCAUCGAAUCUUUGAACGCACAUUGCGCCCCUUGGUAUUCCAUGGGGCAUGCCUGUUCGAGCGUCAUUUGUACCUUCAAGCUUUGCUUGGUGUUGGGUGUUUGUCCAUUCUCUUGCAGAGGGACUCGCCUUAAAGUAAUUGGCAGCCAGUGUUUUGGAUUUGAAGCGCAGCACAAGACGCGAUUCAACGCUAUACGCCAGCUUCCACAAGCCUUUUUCACUUUUGACCUCGGAUCAGGUAGGGAUACCCGCUGAACUUAAGCAUAUCAAUAAGCGGAGGA